Molecule: ribosomal RNA, 492 nt
Filed under: uncultured bacterium
Lineage: Bacteria
Description: partial 16S ribosomal RNA
Rfam family: Bacterial small subunit ribosomal RNA
Source: RNAcentral
AGUGAACGCUGGCGGUAGGCCUAACACAUGCAAGUCGAACGGCAGCACAGUAAGAGCUUGCUCUUACGGGUGGCGAGUGGCGGACGGGUGAGGAAUACAUCGGAAUCUACUUUUUCGUGGGGGAUAACGUAGGGAAACUUACGCUAAUACCGCAUACGACCUACGGGUGAAAGCAGGGGAUCUUCGGACCUUGCGCGAUUGAAUGAGGCGAUGUCGGAUUAGCUAGUUGGCGGGGUAAAGGCCCACCAAGGCGACGAUCCGUAGCUGGUCUGAGAGGAUGAUCAGCCACACUGGAACUGAGACACGGUCCAGACUCCUACGGGAGGCAGCAGUGGGGAAUAUUGGACAAUGGGCGCAAGCCUGAUCCAGCCAUACCGCGCGGGUGAAGAAGGCCUUCGGGUUGUAAAGCCCUUUUGUUGGGAAAGAAAAGCAGCAGGUUAAUACCCCGCUGUUCUGACGGUACCCAAAGAAUAAGCACCGGCUAACUUCGUG